Molecule: ribosomal RNA, 424 nt
Filed under: uncultured bacterium
Lineage: Bacteria
Description: bacterial SSU rRNA
Rfam family: Bacterial small subunit ribosomal RNA
Source: RNAcentral
AGGGAAUCUUCGGCAAUGGACGAAAGUCUGACCGAGCAACGCCGCGUGAGUGAGGAAGGUCUUCGGAUCGUAAAGCUCUGUUGCCAGGGAAGAAGGGCGAGGAGAGUAACUGCUCUUCGCUUGACGGUACCUGAGAAGAAAGCCCCGGCUAACUACGUGCCAGCAGCCGCGGUAAUACGUAGGGGGCAAGCGUUGUCCGGAAUUAUUGGGCGUAAAGCGCGCGCAGGCGGUUCUUUAAGUCUGGUGUAUAAGCCCAGGGCUCAACCUUGGGACGCACGGGAAACUGGGGGACUGGAGUGCAGGAGAGGAAAGUGGAAUUCCACGUGUAGCGGUGAAAUGCGUAGAGAUGUGGAGGAACACCAGUGGCGAAGGCGACUUUCUGGCCUGUAACUGACGCUGAGGCGCGAAAGCGUGGGGAGCAAAC